This 364-nucleotide unclassified non-coding RNA is filed under the name uncultured fungus. RNAcentral describes it as "sequence contains ITS2". The stretch from base 1 to 52 matches the Rfam family "5.8S ribosomal RNA", at positions 103 to 154 of the family's 154-position model. The record is from RNAcentral. Lineage: Eukaryota; Fungi.
AACGCAUAUUGCGCUCUCUGGUAUUCCGGAGAGCAUGCUUGUUUGAGUAUCAGUAAACACCUCAAAUCUCCUCUUUUUUUUCGAAAGAAAAGGAGAUUGGACUUGAGCAAUCCCAACGCGUUAAGCGAUUUUCGUGGCGGGUUGCUUGAAAUGCAGGUGCAGCUGGAUCUUUAUUCUGAGCUAAAAGCAUAUUUAUUUAAUCCCGUUAAACGGAUUAUUACUUUUGCUGCAGCUAACAUAAAGGAAUAAUCAUCCUCAUGCUGACUGAUGCAGGAAUUUUUUCUUGUGCGAUUUUUUAAACGAAAUCAAACAACAAAAAACAAAACUCGAUCUCAAAUCAAGCAAGACUACCCGCUGAACUUAA